This is a small nucleolar RNA of Rattus norvegicus (Norway rat), 132 nucleotides long. Ensembl annotates it as small nucleolar RNA SNORA17. The record is from Ensembl. NCBI's taxonomy places the organism in Eukaryota, Metazoa, Chordata, Mammalia, Rodentia, Muridae.
GCUGCCUCCAGAGGCUUUACCCUUGUGGCUGCUGUGUCACAAGUGUAUCAGGAGGUGGCAGAGAGGAGAGAGACUAUGUCUAUACUCAGUGUUCUGACCUGUAUACGUCUGAAUGGUUAGUAGACUAACACU